GCUGGCGGCAUGCCUAACACAUGCAAGUCGAGCGCACCUUCGGGUGAGCGGCGGACGGGUUAGUAACGCGUGGGAACGUACCCUUUUCUACGGAAUAGCCUUUGGAAACGAAGAGUAAUACCGUAUACGCCCUUUGGGGGAAAGAUUUAUCGGAGAAGGAUCGGCCCGCGUUAGAUUAGAUAGUUGGUGGGGUAACGGCCUACCAAGUCUACGAUCUAUAGCUGGUUUUAGAGGAUGAUCAGCAACACUGGGACUGAGACCCGGCCCAGACUCCUACGGGAGGCAGCAGUGGGGAAUCUUAGACAAUGGGCGCAAGCCUGAUCUAGCCAUGCCGCGUGAGUGAUGAAGGCCUAGGGUCGUAAAGCUCUCUCGCCUGUGAUGAU
This 383-nucleotide ribosomal RNA is filed under the name uncultured marine bacterium. Its description in RNAcentral is "bacterial SSU rRNA". It matches the Rfam family "Bacterial small subunit ribosomal RNA", at positions 35 to 449 of the family's 1533-position model. The record is from RNAcentral.